AUGCCCGCCUCCUCCGUCUCCGGUAGCACCGGACCCGGCGGCGUGUCGCCCGACGCCAUCAUCGAGUGGCUGCAGGACGAGAUGGGCUACCCCUCCGCGCCGCCCGCGCCCGAGCAGCUGCGCAAGAUCUGCCGCGGCAACAUGCUCCCGGUCUGGUCCUUCCUCCUCCGCCGGGUCCGCUCCGAGCGCACGGUCGCCACGGCGCGCCGGAACAUCCUCGUCCACGGCGUCGCGGCCAGGCGGGCGCGGGAGGGGGGCGUCGGGGCGGGAGGAGGCGACGCGGCUGCCAGAGAGGCCGAGGCCAGGGAGCGGGACCUCGCCGCCGAGGAGGCGGAGCGGCUGCGCGGGGUCGUGCGGAGGCAGCGCAAGGAGCUGCGCGCCCGCAUCGCGGAGGUCGCGCGCGAGGAGGCCGAACGCAAGCGUGUGUUGGGCGAGCGCUCCAAUGCCAGGCACAAACAAGUUAUGCUCGAGGCGUAUGAUCAGCAAUGUGACGAAGCUUGCAAAAUAUUUGCUGAAUACCAACGACGUCUGCAUCACUUUGUUAACCAAGCAAGAGAUGUGCGAAGGUCAAGUAUAGGUGUGGCUGGAUCUGUGGAUGCGGUUGAGGAGAUGCAAUUGCAGAGCGAGCGAGAGGACCUGUACUCAACUGUCAAAAAUAACAGGUUAUCAGAAGAUCUUGUCCUUGUAGAAACCUCACGUGAAAGGAGUAUUCGGAAGGCAUGUGAAACUCUUGCUGCAGAUAUGGUGGAAAUGAUUCGGAGUUCAUUUCCAGCAUUUGAAGGGAAUGGUAUUAAUUCGAGUUGCCAGAUAGAUGUGGCAAAGCUGGGCACUGAUUUGGAUGGUGAAAUACCAGCAGAUGUGAAAGCUGUGGCAUUAGAUUCCCUAAAAAAUCCUUCCUUGUUACUGCAAUCGAUCAAUAGUUAUACAUCACGCAUGAAAAUGCUUGUACACAAAGAAACAGAUAAGAUUGACAUACGUGCUGAUGCAGAACUCUUGAGGUAUAAAUAUGAAAAUGAGCAGGUCAUUGAUGCUGCUUCAACUGAUGCAAGCUCACCCUUACCAUAUCAGGUGUAUGGCAAUGGAAAGAUUGGAUCAGAGCUGUCGACCCGGGGAACACAUGACCAGCUAUUAGAACGACAGAAAGAACAUGUUCAGCAGUUCUUAGCCACUGAAGAUGCUUUGAAUAAAGCUGCAGAAGCUAAAGCUCUAAGUCAGAAGCUCUUGCAGCGCCUUCAUGGAACUGUUGAUGCGACAGGAAAUAAGAAGCUGCCUACCGGGAACACCUCACAGAACGUCACCAACAGCAGGCACCUGGAGCUGGAUGUUUGGGCCAAAGAAAGAGAAGUUGCUGGAUUAAAGGCAAGUUUGAAUACAUUAACAUCCGAGGUACAACGUCUGUAUAAGUUAUGCGCCGAGUGGAAAGAUGCGGAAGAUUCUCUGAAAAAGAAGUGGAAGAAAAUCGAAGAGUUUGACGCUCGUCGAUCAGAACUGGAGUGCAUUUACACUGCUCUUCUACGGGCCAACAUGGAAGCGUCAGCAUUUUGGGAGCAACAACCGUUAUCUGCUAGAGGAUAUGCAUCAAAGACAAUCAUCCCUGCAUGCAAUGCUGUGGUAGAUAUGUCAACUAAUUCGAGAGAUCUUAUUGAGCGAGAAUUAGCCGCGUUUGGUCAAAGUCUGGAGAAUAGCCUAUGCAGGUUACCAGCAACUCCUCAGGCCCUUUUGGAGGCUGUAGGUUCUAAUGGUGCUACAGGGUCAGAAGCACUUGCAUCUGCAGAAAAACAGGCUGCUAUGUUAACUGCAAGAGCUGGUGCUAGAGAUCCUUCUGCCAUACCAUCUAUAUGCCGCAUUUCUACUGCUCUUCAGUAUAAUUCUGUUUCACCAGGUACAGAAGGCACAGAUUCUGGCUUAGCAUCAGUUUUGAGUGCAUUGGAGUUUUGCCUAAAACCUUGUGGUUCUGAAGCUAGUAUACUAGAGGAUCUAUCAAAAGCUAUUAAUUUGGUGCACACACGAAGAAAUCUUGCUGAGAACGAUCGUGUUUUGCUAAAUCGUGCACAUCGUGCUCAACAAGAAUAUGAAAGAGUGGGCAACUAUUGUCUCAAAUUAGCUGGUGAACAAGAAAAGGUCGUGGCAGAACGGUGGUUGCCCGAACUGAGAAAUGCAGUUCAAGAGGCGCAAAGGUGUUUUGAAGAUUGCAGGCGUGUUAGGGGCCUGGUCGACGAAUGGUACGAGCAACCAGCAGCGACAAUAGUAGACUGGGUGACGAUUGAUGGGCAAAGCGUUGGUGCCUGGAUCAACCUCGUGAAGCAACUCCACAUGGAGAUCUCAAGGCGAACACUUGCCAUGUCUUCGGCAGGUGAAGAAUAG
This 2364-nucleotide ribosomal RNA is filed under the name Triticum aestivum (bread wheat). Its description in RNAcentral is "partial small subunit ribosomal RNA". The record is from RNAcentral. Lineage: Eukaryota; Viridiplantae; Streptophyta; Magnoliopsida; Poales; Poaceae.